UUAAAUUGAAGAGUUUGAUCAUGGCUCAGAUUGAACGCUGGCGGCAGGCCUAACACAUGCAAGUCGAACGGUAACAGGAAGCAGCUUGCUGCUUUGCUGACGAGUGGCGGACGGGUGAGUAAUGUCUGGGAAACUGCCUGAUGGAGGGGGAUAACUACUGGAAACGGUAGCUAAUACCGCAUAACGUCGCAAGACCAAAGAGGGGGACCUUCGGGCCUCUUGCCAUCGGAUGUGCCCAGAUGGGAUUAGCUUGUUGGUGGGGUAACGGCUCACCAAGGCGACGAUCCCUAGCUGGUCUGAGAGGAUGACCAGCCACACUGGAACUGAGACACGGUCCAGACUCCUACGGGAGGCAGCAGUGGGGAAUAUUGCACAAUGGGCGCAAGCCUGAUGCAGCCAUGCCGCGUGUAUGAAGAAGGCCUUCGGGUUGUAAAGUACUUUCAGCGGGGAGGAAGGGAGUAAAGUUAAUACCUUUGCUCAUUGACGUUACCCGCAG
This 496-nucleotide ribosomal RNA is filed under the name Escherichia coli. RNAcentral describes it as "bacterial SSU rRNA". It matches the Rfam family "Bacterial small subunit ribosomal RNA", at positions 1 to 484 of the family's 1533-position model. Lineage: Bacteria; Pseudomonadati; Pseudomonadota; Gammaproteobacteria; Enterobacterales; Enterobacteriaceae. The record is from RNAcentral.